Molecule: long non-coding RNA, 360 nt
Filed under: Pan troglodytes (chimpanzee)
Lineage: Eukaryota; Metazoa; Chordata; Mammalia; Primates; Hominidae
Description: long non-coding RNA NONPTRT014769
Source: RNAcentral
CUUGAACCUACACUUGACGGCUGCUUUAUCUGAGAUUAAAAACAUGCAGAAGGAUUGGGCGCCUGGGUCCCUGACAUUUGGGUUCCUGAUCAGUUACGGGAAUCUGUCUUGCAGCAAGUCUCCUUUUGAGGAAUGCAAAACAGAAGACACAUUCCAACCCACUGGUUUCUAACAGAAGGGAAAAGAUACGCAUUAAAUGGCUAGACACCAAGAGCACACGGGUCUGGCUUAAUGAGAUGCUGGAGAAGAUUGUUAAAUUCAAAUCCAUGUUUUCAGGAUUAAUACAGAAAAUGAAUUGUUGCUUGUUUGGUGAACAUCAAAGAUUUCCCAGAAAGAGGGCACCAUCUUGUGGUCAGUAGC